This 56-nucleotide transfer RNA is filed under the name Caenorhabditis japonica. It matches the Rfam family "tRNA", at positions 9 to 63 of the family's 71-position model. From Rfam's summary of the family: Transfer RNA (tRNA) molecules are approximately 80 nucleotides in length. Their secondary structure includes four short double-helical elements and three loops (D, anti-codon, and T loops). The record is from Rfam by way of RNAcentral. Lineage: Eukaryota; Metazoa; Nematoda; Chromadorea; Rhabditida; Rhabditidae.
AGCUCAGGGGUAGAGCGCUCGCUUUGCAUGCGAGAAGUCUGGGGUUCGAUUCCCCA